GACGAACGCUGGCGGCGUGCUUAACACAUGCAAGUCGAACGGAAAGGCCCUGCUUUUGUGGGGUGCUCGAGUGGCGAACGGGUGAGUAACACGUGAGUAACCUGCCCUUGACUUUGGGAUAACUUCAGGAAACUGGGGCUAAUACCGGAUAGGAGCUCCUGCUGCAUGGUGGGGGUUGGAAAGUUUCGGCGGUUGGGGAUGGACUCGCGGCUUAUCAGCUUGUUGGUGGGGUAGUGGCUUACCAAGGCUUUGACGGGUAGCCGGCCUGAGAGGGUGACCGGCCACAUGGGUACUGAGAUACGGCCCAGACUCCUACGGGAGGCAGCAGUGGGGAAUAUUGCACAAUGGGCGGAAGCCUGAUGCAGCAACGCCGCGUGCGGGAUGACGGCCUUCGGGUUGUAAACCGCUUUCGCCUGUGACGAAGCAUGAGUGACGGUAAUGGGUAAAGAAGCACCGGCUAACUACGUG
RNAcentral lists this ribosomal RNA (468 nucleotides) under uncultured bacterium. RNAcentral's name for it is "partial 16S ribosomal RNA". It matches the Rfam family "Bacterial small subunit ribosomal RNA", at positions 28 to 507 of the family's 1533-position model. The record is from RNAcentral.